Molecule: ribosomal RNA, 279 nt
Filed under: uncultured bacterium
Lineage: Bacteria
Description: partial 16S ribosomal RNA
Rfam family: Bacterial small subunit ribosomal RNA
Source: RNAcentral
UGCCAGCCGCCGCGGUAAUACGGAGGGGGCUAGCGUUGCUCGGAAUUACUGGGCGUAAAGGGCGCGUAGGCGGAUUUCCCAGUCAGGCGUGAAAGCCCCGGGCUCAACCCGGGAACUGCGUUUGAUACUGCCAGGCUAGAGUAUGUUAGAGGAAAGCGGAAUUCCGGGUGUAGCGGUGAAAUGCGUAGAUAUCCGGAGGAACAUCAGUGGCGAAGGCGGCUUUCUGGAACAAUACUGACGCUGAGGUGCGAAAGCGUGGGGAGCAAACAGGAUUAGAUA